UCAGUUGCGAUCUACUCGGCGUUCCGCGCCGCCGGAUAACCGUAGUAAUUCUAGGGCUAAUACGUGCGAAGCGCCGAAGCCGCGAGGCGACGGGCGUUCUCGCCGGAUGUAGGAACCGACCCGGGGGACCGCCGGGGGCAACCCCGGCGCCCCCGAGACGGGGCGAACCACGGUGAAAUGACGGAUCGUCGGCCCCGCGCCGGCGACUCGCCGAAUGAGUUUCUGACCUAUCAACUCGAGACGGCGGGGUAGAGGCCCGCCGCAGUAACGACGGGUAACGGGGAAUCAGGGUUCGAUUCCGGAGAGGGAGCCCCGAGAAACGGCUACCACUUCCAAGGAAGGCAGCAGGCGCGCAACUUACCCUAAUCUCGAUUCGAGGAGGUAGUGACAAGAAAUACCGAUGCGGGACCCUACGGGUGCCGCGUUCGGAAUGAGUACGAUUCGAACCACCUAACGAGGAACGAUCGGAGGGCAAGUCUGGUGCCAGCAGCCGCGGUAAUUCCAGCUCC
Molecule: ribosomal RNA, 509 nt
Filed under: uncultured eukaryote
Lineage: Eukaryota
Description: bacterial SSU rRNA
Rfam family: Eukaryotic small subunit ribosomal RNA
Source: RNAcentral